Long non-coding RNA from Maniola jurtina (meadow brown), 103 nucleotides. RefSeq lists it as uncharacterized. The transcript has 3 exons. NCBI's taxonomy places the organism in Eukaryota, Metazoa, Arthropoda, Insecta, Lepidoptera, Nymphalidae. The record is from RefSeq and is a predicted model, not a curated record.
UUAUAUUAGAAGAGGGUCUUGGACUGUACUAAUAAAAUGAUGUGAUAUUUUGUAUAGCGAUAGUUUAUGGGACUAGAAUUCAUUAUUAAAGAGAAUAAUUAAA